This 590-nucleotide long non-coding RNA is filed under the name Olea europaea subsp. europaea. The record is from RNAcentral. Lineage: Eukaryota; Viridiplantae; Streptophyta; Magnoliopsida; Lamiales; Oleaceae.
GUCAUACUUUACGUUCCUGUCCAGAAUUUUCUAUAUAUUAUCUCAACAAUGUUAUAAAAAUAAUAAAAAUAGAAGAGUAAUUUCACAUUAUCCAAGUAGAAACAAGCACUACAAUUUGUCAAGUAAUACAAGGAUGGAAUAAGAUUGAACAAAGAAUGUCACCUUCAAAACUGUCGGAUUUAAACCAUCGCCAGUCCUCACUUUGGGUCACUAAAGGAUAAGAUGCUCUUCACGAAUGGCUAACAAUUCUGUGCUCUUGAAACCUUAAUCUCAUUAUGCAUUUAUGUGGUUAUAUAUGUCCUAUAGAGUGAAACAAAAACACCCAUAUACAACUAAAACAAGACGAGUAACUCAAGAUUUCGACUACACAUAAUUUUAAAAUUUUAAAUUUACAGAAGAAGUCAAACAUAGUAUCGGAACAACCAAAAUGCAUAAAGAAAGGCACUACACAAACAAGGCCUGGUGAUAGCCCUGUUGACAAGGGCUAAGGUGACGGUGCCUCAGCCCCUGAUCUGAAUUGAUGCUCAAUUUAGAUCGGGGGCUAAGGUGGCGAUAGGGCUUCUCAUCAGGCCAGUUUGUUUAGAAUUUUU